GGGAACUCUGACACAGGUGCUGCAUGGCUGUCGUCAGCUCGGUGUCGUGAGAUGUUGGGUUAAGUCCGUAACGAGCGCAACCCUUGUCCUUAGUUACCAGCACGUUAUGGUGGGCACUCUAAGGAGACUGCCGGUGACAAACCGGAGGAAGGUGGGGAUGACGUCAAGUCAUCAUGGCCCUUACGGCCUGGGCUACACACGUGCUACAAUGGUCGGUACAAAGGGUUGCCAAGCCGCGAGGUGGAGCUAAUCCCAUAAAACCGAUCGUAGUCCGGAUCGCAGUCUGCAACUCGACUGCGUGAAGUCGGAAUCGCUAGUAAUCGUGAAAUCAGAAUGUCACGGUGAAUACGUUCCCGGGCCUU
RNAcentral lists this ribosomal RNA (362 nucleotides) under uncultured Pseudomonas sp. Its description in RNAcentral is "bacterial SSU rRNA". It matches the Rfam family "Bacterial small subunit ribosomal RNA", at positions 1022 to 1382 of the family's 1533-position model. Lineage: Bacteria; Pseudomonadati; Pseudomonadota; Gammaproteobacteria; Pseudomonadales; Pseudomonadaceae. The record is from RNAcentral.